CGAAUUCGGCUCUUCGGGAUAAGGAUUGGCUCUGAAGAUUGAGAUAGUCGGGCUUGAUUGGGAAGCAAUAAUAUGGUUUAUGUACUCGUUCUGGGUAAAUUAGAAUGAAGACAAUGUGUUAAACAUUGGAUUAAUUCGUUCCCCGGAUAGUAGCUUACGUAACCAAUUGCGGAACUUUCUUGCUAAUAAUAUAUUAGAAAUUUUUUAUUAAAAAUAUAUAUUUCUAACGGCUAUCAAUUAACAAUCAAUUCAGAACUGGCACGGACUUGGGGAAUCCGACUGUCUAAUUAAAACAAAGCAUUGUGAUGGCCCUAACGGGUGUUGACACAAUGUGAUUUCUGCCCAGUGCUCUGAAUGUCAAAGUGAAGAACUUCAAGUAAGCGCGGGUAAACGGCGGGAGUAACUAUGACUCUCUUAAGGUAGCCAAAUGCCUCGUCAUAUAAUUAGUGACAGGGAAAGAAGACCUGUUGAGCUUGACUCUAAUCUGGCAGUGUAAGGAGACAUAAGAGGUGUAAAUAAGUGGGAGAUAAUUGAUUAAACCCUUUUAUCAACAAUGAAAUACCACUACUCUUAUUGUUUCCUUACUUACUUGAUAAAAUGGAACGUGUAUUAUUUACUUAGCCAUUACACGAAUAUAUUUAUACAUUUUAUGGUAUUUUGUUUUGAUACGAGUUUUUCGAUCAAAAUACUAAGAGUUUGUUAUAUAUACCAAACAAAUUUAAUGAAUUUUUUUAUAUAUAUAUAUCACAAUUGUGUUUAUUAUAUAUAUUUAAAAUAGUAAUUGAAUUUGGUAUAACUCCUACACUCAGGUAUGAUCCAAUUCAAGGACAUUGCCAGGUGGGGAGUUUGACUGGGGCGGUACAUCUCUCAAAUAAUAACGGAGGUGUCCCAAGGCCAGCUCAGUGCGGACAGAAACCACACAUAGAGCAAAAGGGCAAAUGCUGACUUGAUCUCGGUAUUCAGUACAUACAGAGACAGCAAAAGCUCGGCCUAUCGAUCCUUUUGGUUUAAAGGGUUUUUAACAAGAGGUGUCAGAAAAGUUACCACAGGGAUAACU
RNAcentral lists this ribosomal RNA (1057 nucleotides) under Carvalhoa micella. RNAcentral's name for it is "partial 28S ribosomal RNA". It matches the Rfam family "Eukaryotic large subunit ribosomal RNA", at positions 1923 to 2831 of the family's 3401-position model. Lineage: Eukaryota; Metazoa; Arthropoda; Insecta; Diptera; Acroceridae. The record is from RNAcentral.